RNAcentral lists this transfer RNA (65 nucleotides) under Ptyctolaemus gularis. Its description in RNAcentral is "tRNA-Met". The record is from RNAcentral. Lineage: Eukaryota; Metazoa; Chordata; Lepidosauria; Squamata; Agamidae.
ACUAGGGUCUGCUACACAAGCAAUUGGGCCCAUGCCCCAAAAACGGUAAUCCCUACCCCCUAGUA